RNAcentral lists this ribosomal RNA (711 nucleotides) under uncultured Bacteroidales bacterium. RNAcentral describes it as "bacterial SSU rRNA". It matches the Rfam family "Bacterial small subunit ribosomal RNA", at positions 50 to 756 of the family's 1533-position model. The record is from RNAcentral. Lineage: Bacteria; Pseudomonadati; Bacteroidota; Bacteroidia; Bacteroidales.
AACACAUGCAAGUCGAGGGGCAGCAUGAGGUAGCAAUACCUUGAUGGCGACCGGCGCACGGGUGAGUAACGCGUAUGCAACCUGCCUGAUACCGGGGUAUAGCCCAUGGAAACGUGGAUUAACACCCCAUAGUACUUUUAUCCUGCCUGGGAUGGGAGUUAAAUGUUCAAGGUAUCGGAUGGGCAUGCGUCCUGUUAGUUAGUUGGCGGGGUAACAGCCCACCAAGACGAUGAUAGGUAGGGGUUCUGAGAGGAAGGUCCCCCACAUUGGAACUGAGACACGGUCCAAACUCCUACGGGAGGCAGCAGUGAGGAAUAUUGGUCAAUGGACGUAAGUCUGAACCAGCCAAGUCGCGUGAGGGAAGACUGCCCUAUGGGUUGUAAACCUCUUUUAUAAGGGAAGAAUAAGUUCUACGUGUAGAAUGAUGCCUGUACCUUAUGAAUAAGCAUCGGCUAACUCCGUGCCAGCAGCCGCGGUAAUACGGAGGAUGCGAGCGUUAUCCGGAUUUAUUGGGUUUAAAGGGUGCGUAGGCGGUUUAUUAAGUUAGUGGUUAAAUAUUUGAGCUAAACUCAAUUGUGCCAUUAAUACUGGUAAACUGGAGUACAGACGAGGUAGGCGGAAUAAGUUAAGUAGCGGUGAAAUGCAUAGAUAUAACUUAGAACUCCGAUAGCGAAGGCAGCUUACCAGACUGUAACUGACGCUGAUGCACGA